CCGCAACGAGCGCAACCCUUAUCCUUUGUUGCCAGCGAUUAGGUCGGGAACUCAAAGGAGACUGCCAGUGAUAAACUGGAGGAAGGUGGGGAUGACGUCAAGUCAUCAUGGCCCUUACGACCAGGGCUACACACGUGCUACAAUGGCGCAUACAAAGAGAAGCGACCUCGCGAGAGCAAGCGGACCUCAUAAAGUGCGUCGUAGUCCGGAUUGGAGUCUGCAACUCGACUCCAUGAAGUCGGAAUCGCUAGUAAUCGUGGAUCAGAAUGCCACGGUGAAUACGUUCCCGGGCCUUGUACACACCGCCCGUCACACCAUGGGAGUGGGUUGCAAAAGAAGUAGGUAGCUUAACCUUCGGGAGGGCGCUUACCACUUUGUGAUUCAUGACUGGGGUGAAGUCGUAACAAGGUAACCGUAGGGGAACCUGCGGUUGGAUCACCUCCUUACCUUAAAGAA
This 456-nucleotide ribosomal RNA is filed under the name Salmonella enterica subsp. enterica. RNAcentral's name for it is "bacterial SSU rRNA". It matches the Rfam family "Bacterial small subunit ribosomal RNA", at positions 1087 to 1533 of the family's 1533-position model. The record is from RNAcentral. Lineage: Bacteria; Pseudomonadati; Pseudomonadota; Gammaproteobacteria; Enterobacterales; Enterobacteriaceae.